GGGGAUGCCGGAUUUUGACAGGACUUUAAAAUCGUUUUAUAUACAAGACGAGCCAGCUUGCAAGCUCGUAAAUCUUACAAGCAAUCAUACGUGAAAACGCAUGGAACAAGGUCGUUGCUGCUUUCAAUAGCAAGCAACUUGCACCUGCGUUCGCCUAACCUUUAGGCAACGCCCAGCCCUACUGUCCGCUCUGACCGUAGAUCAGCUGGUUUAUUUGGAGCUAUAGUUGAAUGGUCUGAUAUACAUCAUUCAACCGAAAUUAAGUAUAUCGCCCGACUGCUUAGUUGUCCGUUGUGAGGCUGUCGGUAUUUUAACGGACUAAUCUUGUGACCAAUGAUUCGAUUGCUUAGUUUUGGACGCGGGUUUAACUCCCGCCAUCUCCACCA
RNAcentral lists this transfer-messenger RNA (386 nucleotides) under Patescibacteria group. RNAcentral describes it as "UBA920 sp002293685 Standard tmRNA". It matches the Rfam family "transfer-messenger RNA". From Rfam's summary of the family: Bacterial tmRNA, also known as 10Sa RNA or SsrA, is named for its dual tRNA and mRNA-like properties. RNAcentral also lists the same sequence under 1 other name. The record is from RNAcentral.